AUUGAACGCUGGCGGUAUGCUUUACACAUGCAAGUCGAACGGUAACAGGCUAAGGGGUGGUGACGAGUGGCGGAGGGGUGCGUAAUGGAGAGGAAUGCGUCCAGAGGUGGGGGUUAACGCAGCGUAACGUGUGGUAACAUACCAUGAGAUCUGAGGCUGAAAGCGGGGGAAAAGGCAGCAACGUCUGGCCUCGCGCCAUUGGAGGGGCCGAUGUCGGAUUAGGUAGUUGGCGGGGUAAAGGCCCACCAAGGCGACGAUCCGUAGCUGGUCUGAGAGGAUGAGAAGCCACACUGGAACUGAGACACGGUCCAGACUACUACGGGAGGCAGCAGUGGGGAAUAUUGGACAAUGGGCGUAAGCCUGAUCCAGGCAUAGCGCGUCUGUGAAGAAGGCCUUCGCGUUGUAAAGCAUGCUUGUUGGGAAAGAAAAGCAGAAGGUUAAUAGUGCGCUGUUAAGACGGUAGGUAAAGAAUAAGAAUAGGGUAACUUGGUG
RNAcentral lists this ribosomal RNA (492 nucleotides) under uncultured bacterium. RNAcentral describes it as "partial 16S ribosomal RNA". It matches the Rfam family "Bacterial small subunit ribosomal RNA", at positions 29 to 507 of the family's 1533-position model. The record is from RNAcentral.